ACACACACACACACACACACACACACACACAGCUAAACAGCAUCAAAAUUCUUUCUGGGUAAAAUAUUUGCUAUUGUUGUGGGUGCCGUAAUUUGAGGGCGCAAAUCCAGCCUUGAGGGUGAAAUGUAAGCUCUGGAACCCCCCUUUUCUCUCCUUCCUUUUCUUGUGUUGUAGCCCUCCUUUUUAUGUACUAGAAGGAAGGAAGCUCACAGUAGGUGGCUCCAGAUUUAGAAAUAAUACCAACGAUAGAGAUGAGAAUUCCAAUUUCUGGAACGUUUACACUGUGUAGGUGCUUUAACUGUGUUAUCACAUGUAGUUCCUGCUAAAGCCUUAAGACAGAGGUAUGUUUAUUCUCUUCGGUGUAAUAUUCUAAAAGACUUCACUGUAAAGAAAACAAAUACAUUUAUGUGUUCUCUAAAAGCAGAGAGAACAAAACAAAGUGAAGACACUCUCCACUUUAAACAUGUCACAGCCUCAUCAGAAUUCAGCGACCAAACCUUGAUUUUGUUUUUAAUGUUUAUUUAUUUUUGAGAGACAGUGAGCAAAGGACGGGCAGAGAGAGAGGGAAACAGAGGAUCCAAAGCGGGCUCCGUGCUGUCAGCGCAGAGCCCGACAUGGGGCUCAAACCCACGACCCGUGAGAGCGUGACCUGAACCGAGGUCAGACGCUUAACCACUUGCCCUUCCGAGGGGCCCCAGACCUUGAUGUUCUAAAUCCUUCCGAACUGACUUUGUUCCCUUCCUUUCUUAGAGAAAACUUCUUUCUCUUAAAGUAUCAUGGCAGUAUCCUUUCCCCUUGUGUACUCCAUCCUGCAUGUCAGGGAAGGCGUUCGGAGGGUGUUCUCAUGUGUACCCACUAAUUACUGCCCCAAAUACCCCUGUACCUUUUCCAGGAGGUUCAGUACCAGGAAAAUCUGACUUCUGUAUUCUAGCUGUUAAUACACAGGGGCAUCGUGUGUAUGGUUGCCAGGUUUGGCAAAUAAAAACAGAGAAUGCCCAGUUAAAUUUGAAUUUCCGAUUAACAGCAGCAAUAGCAAAAAAAAAAUUUUUUAGUAUAAGUAUGCCCCAAACAGUGCCUGGGACAUACUUAUGCUUAAAAAAAAAAAUCAUUGUUGUAUGAAAUUCACAUUUAGCUGGGCAGCCCACGCUUUUCUCUGGCAAUCCUGACUGCUAUUUCUAAUGUCCAAAUUACAUAAAUGCAAUCCGGCAGUAAGGCCAAUUUUAACUUGUUUCUUUAUAGUGGGAAUCCUACGGAAUGAGCUCCUCCUCCUGGGAGACAAAUGAGCAGCAGACGUCCGAUUUGGUGAAUGGGCCAUCAGCCGAGUACAACCAACUUCUGUAGCAAUUGAAGCAAGCGAAAGGAAGCACGCGAAUUCUAUUCGGGCUUGCACGGAAAUGUCUCUUCACUUACUUUACACUUGUGUUUCAGGCCUGAAAGGGCAGUGGAGGUCAGUCUGUGCAACAUUCCCUCCAAAAGCCCACACCCCAGCCUGGAACCCCGUUCUUUCGUUCCAGGGUUGCCGGCCAAAAGGCUUCCAGGCCAGAGGGGCCACGUGGAGCCGAAGCGCCGCCCAGACCCAGCUUCCCGAGCCUCGCACCUAGUGGAAGGGGCACACCCACCCACCCAAACAGACACUCACGUGUGCCUCCCUCUUGGCGAAUCACGCACCCCCAGGCGAAACCUGCUAAGAGCAGGUGCCUUUUUAAAAAAAUAAUCUGCAUGGAGACCCCAGACUGUUUGGGCCUGGCUCACACGCCCAUUUCACACUUAUUGGCAAAGCCGUCGCUGAGAGCCAGGCACUGUGCUGAGCUGGGAACACACAGAUGAAUUGGGCAUGGUCCCUUCUAGGUCCUUUCCUUCAUGCAGAGUCUGGCGGGGGGCGGACAAGUACUACAAAGAGCACUACGAAAUGUGCCGGGAAGCAGGGUGUGCACAGGGCACAACGAGAGCGCAGAGGAGAGGAAGCUGUUCCAUCCCGGCGGUGUGAGCUAAGAGGCAUCCUCAGGGAAGUUGGAGCUUGCACAGAAUCUAGAUGGAAGAACGGGGUUAGCGAGGCCAGAGUGGGUCGAGGGGAGAAGAGGCAUUCCAGGCAGAGGCCGGGGUGGCACAAGUGAAUUCGCGGAGGUGUGAAACUGAAUGCCAUGCUUUGGAAACCUCUGGAUACUCAUUGCAGCUGAGUGAGUGUGGGGAGAUCAGGAAAUGGCAAAUCAGGAAGGGUCUUUAUAGGGGCGGCUGGGGGGCUUGGUCGGUUGAGCGUCUGACUUAGCUCAGGUCGUGAUAUCGUGGUUCACAGGUUGGAGCCCCACAUUGGGCUCUGUGCUGACAGCUCAGAGCCUGGAGCCCGCUUUGGAUUCUGUGUCUCCCUCUCUCCCUGCCCCUCCCCUGCUCAUGCUCUGUCUCUCUGUCUCUCUCUCAAAAAUAGAUAAACGUUAAAAAAUUAAAAAGAAAAAAAGGAAUGGUCUCUACAAAAAGAAUGCAUUUGGAAAGCUCUGGGUUAGGCAGUGCUCUGUGGGGUAGUUUCGUUCCCUGCUGUAUUUCCCCCAGGGUCUAGAAUAGUGACCGGCAAAUGCUAAGCACUCAGUGUAUAUAUAAUUAAGUGAACGAGUGAACAAGAGAGCAAGUGAAUGGCAGGACUUUGUCAGGGCCUUUAACAGGCCAGUGUAAGUUACAGAUCUCAAGAGGCAGAAGUUUGCCGAACCUCCACCUUAUUUGGCCACAUGAUUGUUUUCUUUCACUGAAUAAUACAUUUUCAAAGACCACUGUUUUCUGGAACACAUUUGGGGAGGUCAUGUUCUCCAGGAGAGAUGCAAAUGAAUAACUCCAUGAAUGAAUAAGUAAGAGAAGUCCAGGCUGAGAGUUUCGGGAUGACACUUGGGUAAAAUGCUCAGCUCUCUCUGUAUGCUCUCCCCGGAACUGAAUGAUUGUUGGCAGGUGAGCAGCAUGGGAGGGCCAGACUCCGGGUUAGCUGGGCCCAGUCCCAGGGGGCUUUGCAAGACCUUUGUGGGGAAAAUAAUUUAUAGUUACUUUGUCCUUUCUUUCCUUCAUUUACAAGCCCAGAUGGUCCCCCAACUAGUCAGGAAAAUAUUCAGCUUCCCUAUGGGCCAAGAUCGUUAAGGGGCAUGAUAACGCUCAAGAUAAUAACGACAUUUAUCAACCGCUAACUUUACAUCUGGAAUUGUCUGCAUUUUUAUCUCAUUGAUUUUCCAAGAUCGUUAAGGGGCAUGAUAACGCUACAAUAAUAAUGACUUACUGAGUGUUUACUCUGUGCCAGGCAGUGGGGUAAGUACACUUUACGUAACAUUAUCUUUAUUAAUACGCCUCACAACCUGAUCCAUUUCUAACAAAACCGAACCACGCCGAGGUUGAGGAACUUGUGCAAAGUCACACAGCCAGUAAGCGGCAGAGCAAGGACUUGAACCGAAAAAAAGUUACUCCUCCCUGCGUCCGCACGCACGUACCUUCAAGAAAACACUCGUGACCCCAGCGAUCGCUACACAAUAGGAUCUACUUGUGACUACUUGCCAGGUGGCCAAGGACUGAGCGUGUAUCAUCGCUAUACAAGUGACAGAUCGAGCCUGUUGCCGGUGUUGCUGGAUGAGAACACUGAUACAGAGUGGUGACUACCGCAGCAUGACACAGUUAGACACCCCCUGGCCCUAGGACGGAAGCAAACGUAAGAAGUCAGGACCAUGCUCGGCCGGACCCCAAACUGCCCGGGCUUUCCUACGCUCUCCAUGGGAAUUCAAGGGUUCCAUGAUUCUGCUUCAUGCGCCUUCUCAAAUAAAGGAAGUAGUCUGGUCGGCAGAAUUAACGACAUGUCACCUACGCUGUUGGCGCAGAGACUGGCCGCUUUUGAGGGCUUUUUAAAAGUUUAUUUACUUAUUUUCUUUGAGAGAGAGAGAAUCCCAAGCAGGCUCUGCACUGUCAGUACAGAACUCGAUGUGGGGCUCGAACCUACGAACCAUGGGGUCACGACCUAAGCCAAAGCCAGACACUUAAUCGGCUGAGCCACCCAGGCGCCCCUUGAGGGAUUUUUUUAACUCUGCUACUCCCUCUUGCUUCUUGAACGUAUAAGCAUUGAUUCACGUCAUGGCAUAGUCUUUGUAGGUGAGUUCGUAUGAACUGCACGCUUUAAAAUUCAUUGUAAAGUGGGGUGCCCGGGGGGCUCAGUCAGUUGAGUGUCCAAUUUCGGCUCAGGUCAUGAUCUCACGGUUCGUGAGUUCGAGACCUGCAUCAGUCUUCGUGCUGACAGCUCAGAGCCUGGAGCCCGCUUCGGGUUCUGUGUCUCCCUCGCUGUCUGCCCCUCCCCCACUCAUGCUCUGUCUCUCCCUGUCUCUCAAAAAUAAAUACACGUUAAAAAAAAGUUUUAAAAUUCAUUGUAAAGUCUAACAUACAUACAGAAGAGUGAUUGGUGAAUGAUGGUCGUGAACUGGACACCCCUAAAUAAGGAACAGCCAGAUGAAGAAGCAGAAUACCACUAGCCCCCCCGAGAAGAGCCGCUCUAGUCACUGAUCCCUAAGGGUAACCUCCCUCCUGACUUUGAGCAGCACACAAGCUAAGAGAAGCGUGACAACGGCCUAUGUACAAACUGUCAAACGUGAGAUUUGGGCCAUCUGACUCCAGAGCUUACCCAUUAGAUAGCACAUGCCUAAAACUCUAGAACUUUCUCAAUUCCAUAGAGAGAAGACUGUUCGUAGGUUUUUUUAAAAACGUGUUUGACGGUGUCUGAAUAUAAAAUGAUAGGCGCCUGAAUAGCCAGGCCCGGAAGAGCGGUUGUGGCCGGAGAGAGGGGAAUCCGGGAUGAUGGCUGUCCCUGGCGGGGCUGAUGGCAGUACUGAUCUCGAAGGGCUAAAGGCCAAGUCUUAAAUCUCUGAAGCUUUCGAUUACCUUUAGAGGGCUCAUCCCUGAGCAGGGAUUCCCACUGAGGAGACUGCCAAUGAGAAGCUUAGGCGGCCAGCUAGGGUGCGUCUUAGAUGGAGCCAACUUUUACGGGGCCAAGAUGACCCUUAGCUGUUCUGACUGAUACAGUCACUGCCAGGCUCUGCCCCGUCUCUCUAGUCUCCAGUCUUCCAAACUCCCCUCUGCAAUUGUUAUCCCUUUUCACAGAUGAGAAAACUGAUGUUCAGAAAGGUGAAAAGCCCCGGCCAGGGCCACACCACCGGUGAAUGGCGGGGCCAAGAUGCCCGUGUCUAUUUUGACUGGCGCAUCUGCUUAGAGUCGUCACACACCAAGCUUGAAACGCCCCUUUGCUUCCCAGAGAGUCGCUUUAUUGGGGAAUUCUUGAUCACCACCCCCAGAAUGUCAAAUCGGGGUCCUGAAUCUCUGCUCUCUGGGGGAUGGUUCAGAGGGCAUUGCCGGGCCUCAGGACGGUCACUGAUCACGUCAGUUGCUACUGGUGAUACCAGAGAAAGACUGGCGUCUCCACAGGGCCCCACUUCUCCAAACAUAUUCCAUGGAAACACACGAUCUCAGGCCCACCCAGGACCUCCUGAGUGGGAAGUUGCAUUUCAACAGGGCUCCCAGGGGAUUUGUCCGCACGUUAAAGUUUGCAAAGCCUGGUUGGAUGCCAGAGAACAAAGUUUGGUGUACUCUUCUCAAAAUGGGCUUAUAUGCAAUUUAUAUCUAUCUUUGGAAAAAAGACGGAGAUACGAGUGAGAUUGUUAGUCGGCUCAUUUCAAGAAGAGGAAUAGGAAGCUGCCUCCUUCUCGCUGAGCCAAUUGGAGGCUGUGAGAAGAUUCUAAUGGGAACAACCUUCCCCCUCCCUUUGUUGCCUCUGUGGACACCUGCUGUCGUUAGCAUUAAUUGGAUUUGCAGUAUUCACAUACCUGCUGGGGAAAAUAGACCCCUUAAUUUGCUACAAUGUAAGGGGACAUCAGCCAUUUCAGCCAGACCUUUGUGGAAAUCAUGUGCAACGUCAAAAAGAUACUUAAACUCCCUAAACACGGGCUGCAUUGUAUGGCCUCUAACAGCAUCUUGACUCGCAACGGCAAAGAGAAAUAGGUCUGCGCCGAAAUCAUGUCAGCAGGGAGAUCGGAACGGCUGCCCGUUCUCCACGUCGUUUUGUCAUCGGCGAACUGACCACUGUGCAGAUGUUAGCCUUCUGGAUCUUCUGUCUCAGUGAGAUCUAAAGUGCGUGGCCUCUUAAAAAGCACGUCACAGUUCAUUCAUUCAUUUAUCCACUAAGGAUUUUUUAAGCAUUUUUUAAAUGUUUAUUUUUGAGAGAGACGGAGAGACAGAGCAUGAGCUGGGGAGGGGCGGAGAGAGAGGGGGACACAGAAUCAGAAGCAGGCUCCAGGCUCUCCGCCGUCAGCACAGAGCCUGAUGUGGGGCUUCAACCCAUGAACCAUGAGAUCAUGACCUGAGCCAAAGUCGGACGCUUAACCGACUGAGCCACCCAGGCACCCCUCCUUCUCCUUCUUUUGCCACUGGGAGGUUUAGUACGUGUUUAUUGUGUUGAGUAGACCCUUGCUGUUAUCAUGAAAGAACUAAUUGAAAAGAGGAAGGUAACAGCCAUCUCUCAGAGAACCCCAGAUUUUUCCAGCCUCUGUGUCCCCUCUCGAAUCCCCAAGAAGACACAUUUAUAUGCAUCAUCUAAUUUGAUCCCUGCAAAAGUCUGAAGAUAAGAGGUACAGUUAACAAUAGCAUUUGCUAAAGGAGGCUAUUUGAACACGAAGAAAGGGGUUGGCAAACUUUUUCUACGAAGGACGAGACAGUAGCUAUUUUCGGCUUUGUAAUCUCUGCUCGAACAAUUCAGGUUUGCCACUGUAGUUAGAAAGCAGCCACAGGGGGCGCCUGGGUGGCUCAGUCGGUUGAGCCUUCGACUUCAGCUCAGGUCAUGACCUCGCGGGUUCGUGAGUUCAAGCCCCACAUGGGACUUACUGCUGUCAGCCUGUCAGCACAGAGCCCUUUUCGAAUCCUGUCUCCCCCUCCCUGCCCCUCCCCCACUUGCACUCUCUCAAAAACAAACAUUUUCUUCUUUUAAAAAAAAGGAAAGCAACCACAGACAAUACAGAAAGACGUGGGUAUGGCUGUGUUCCAAGAAGACUUUGCCUAGGGACCGUGCAGUUUGUAUUUCACGUAACUUUCGUGUGUCAUGAACUAUUAUUCUUCUUUUGAAUUUUUUCGACCAUUAAAAAAUGUAAAAACCA
Long non-coding RNA from Acinonyx jubatus (cheetah), 7148 nucleotides. RefSeq lists it as uncharacterized. The record is from RefSeq and is a predicted model, not a curated record. Lineage: Eukaryota; Metazoa; Chordata; Mammalia; Carnivora; Felidae. The transcript is spliced from 2 exons.